UCGGCUCGGCUCGGCCCGGCCCGCCCCGCUCCGCCCCGCCGCGCCGCGCAGCAUGGCCGGCUUCGCCGACCUGAACCUGCCGCAGGGGCCGGACAAGAAGUCCCUGCAGAGCCUGCUGGAGGCCGCAGCGCACUUGGGAUAUUCUGCAGUUGCUCUUAAUCAUGUCAUCGAUUUUAAAGAAAAGAAACAGGAAAUCGUUAAGCCAGUAUCUCCUUUGGAGUUGUUUCCAUCUUUGCCUAUUGUACAAGGGACAUCUAAAAGAAUUAAAGUCUUAACUCGGCUAACACUUGUUGUUUCUGAUCCUUCCCACUGUAAUCUCUUGAGAUCAACAUCUGCGAAUAUAAGGUUAUAUGACAUCAUAGCAGUAUUUCCGAAGACUGAGAAACUGUUCCAUAUUGCUUGCACAACUCUGGAUGUGGAUCUGGUAUGCAUAAAUGUAACAGAAAAGCUGCCAUUCUACUUCCGAAGGCCCCCUGUGAAUAUGGCAGUAGAUCGAGGCAUUUGCUUUGAACUUCUUUACGCGCCUGCCAUCAAAGACUCCACAAUGAGAAGAUACACAAUUUCAAAUGCGAUCAGCCUGAUGCAGAUCUGCAAAGGAAAGAACAUUGUUAUAUCUAGUGCAGCUGAAAGGCCUCUAGAACUACGAGGUCCUUACGACGUGGCUAAUCUGUAUCCUUUUUCCAAGUCAAAGACAGCAGUUAAUAGUAACAUGUGAAAGUUCAAAGUGGUUUCGAAAUACUUCCGUCCUUUACACUCCUUGAACUUUAUACAGUGAUGCUUGUUGGUGACCAGUGAAUCAGAGCUCUAAGUGGGUGUGGAAGGUGCAACAGGUCUUGGUCAUGGGGUGGCAUGAGCAGUCACUGUAAAUAGAAAUGUCUUUGUUCAGCUACAGAUAUGUUUUGUUGUGAUAUGCAUUGAUACUGUGUUGGGUGUAAGUGGAGAAAUGAAUAAAACCCAUAAAAAUCUAUGGAAACUGUGAACCAAAUCAGAAAUUAUUACUUAUGAUCUCCAAAGUGCCACAUCUUUGGCAGAAGCAGCUAUAGAAUCAUAUUUAUAUUAAGGAAGAAAAAUUUCUGAGUUUUCCAGUCCUUAGUUACAUACGUGCUGUUAAAUAACUGGUUGUGUUCUAGAAACCAAGAGUGUCUUAUCUCCCCUUCUUUUUGGAAUUCGGAUGCAUUUUUACUAUUCACCGCUCCCCGCCCCACAAGUGCGUAUUUGAACUGUCCCUUGAAGGGGAGGAGUGUGCUCUGAAUCGUGAGAACCAUGUGGGAGGGUCUGCGGCCUGGAAGGAUUUUAUGCACAAUGUUUCCUUCCUUCUUAAAAGAGCAGUCAAGCUCAACCCAAAUUAAGGUACCUAAUCUGGUGUCAUCCCUGCUCAAGGUGGCUGGGAACUUUUCAGCAUAAUGCUUUUGUAUUCGACAGUGCCCUUUCCCCAAAACUAAAGUUUUCAAUGGGGUAAUUUUUCUGCUUGAUUAUGCAUAUAAAAAUGUUCCUGUGUUGACAGACUUUUAUUUUCAGAAGUACAGCUUCUUGUCUGGAAAAAAGCAACUUUGCCAGGAGCUUUCCAGGAGGGCUGCUGGGGAACUGCAGCCAGGAGAAUUGGGUGCCUCAAUUUCCUGCCUCUGGGUGACAGAGGUUUGCUGUUUGGCCUGUCAGAAAGUGAAGCCAAGGCAGCUGUGUCUACCAACUGCAGAGCCACCAUACUUCAUGGAG
Molecule: RNA transcript, 1713 nt
Organism: Aquila chrysaetos chrysaetos
Lineage: Eukaryota; Metazoa; Chordata; Aves; Accipitriformes; Accipitridae
Gene: RPP30
Gene name: ribonuclease P/MRP subunit p30
Exons: 10
Source: RefSeq, a predicted model, not a curated record